CCAACCCUGGGGUGUUCGACAGUUGUUCAAGUCCCUCGAGCCGAUAAUCUUUCUACCGGACGUAGGCUAGGGGCGUUGUGAGCAUGUCCGUAUACGGAAAGCCUAAUUCGCCCCUACUUACCUCCACUCUGAACCUUCGGGUUCAGGGCCAAGAACACCACCGGCACCCUGGGGCCUCU
Molecule: non-coding RNA, 179 nt
Filed under: Oceanospirillaceae bacterium
Lineage: Bacteria; Pseudomonadati; Pseudomonadota; Gammaproteobacteria; Oceanospirillales; Oceanospirillaceae
Description: 6S / SsrS RNA
Rfam family: 6S / SsrS RNA
About the family: E. coli 6S RNA was the first non coding RNA to be sequenced, but its function was unknown until recently.
Source: Rfam by way of RNAcentral